This 100-nucleotide unclassified non-coding RNA is filed under the name Blechomonas keelingi. RNAcentral's name for it is "trans-spliced leader sequence SL". Lineage: Eukaryota; Euglenozoa; Kinetoplastea; Trypanosomatida; Trypanosomatidae. The record is from RNAcentral.
AACUAACGCUAUUAUUGAUACAGUUUCUGUACUUUAUUGGUAUGAGAAGCUUCCGGAAUAAUUAAUUAAUUAUUCAGGAUAAUUUUGGAACCAAACCUUC